This 301-nucleotide ribosomal RNA is filed under the name uncultured bacterium. RNAcentral describes it as "partial 16S ribosomal RNA". It matches the Rfam family "Bacterial small subunit ribosomal RNA", at positions 509 to 809 of the family's 1533-position model. The record is from RNAcentral.
CAGCCGCCACGGGAAUACGUAGGGUGCGAGCGUUAAUCGGAAUUACUGGGCGUAAAGCGUGCGCAGGCGGUUGUGUAAGACAGGUGUGAAAUCCCCGGGCUUAACCUGGGAACUGCGCUUGUGACUGCACAGCUAGAGUAUGGCAGAGGGGGGUGGAAUUCCACGUGUAGCAGUGAAAUGCGUAGAGAUGUGGAGGAACACCGAUGGCGAAGGCAGCCCCCUGGGCCAAUACUGACGCUCAUGCACGAAAGCGUGGGGAGCAAACAGGAUUAGAUACCCCUGUAGUCCCUGUCUCUUAUAU